UUAGCCCUACGGGGCGCAGCAGUGGGGAAUAUUGCACAAUGGGGGAAACCCUGAUGCAGCAACGCCGCGUGAGUGAAGAAGGUUUUCGGAUUGUAAAGCUCUGUUAGCAGGGAAGAGGAAGGACGGUACCUGCAGAGGAAGCCACGGCUAACUACGUGCCAGCAGCCGCGGUAAUACGUAGGGGGCAAGCGUUAUCCGGAUUCACUGGGCGUAAAGGGAGCGCAGGCGGCAUGGCAAGUCUGAUGUGAAAACCCGGGGCCCAACCCCGGGAGUGCAUUGGAAACUGCCAGGCUGGAGGGUCGGAG
RNAcentral lists this ribosomal RNA (305 nucleotides) under uncultured bacterium. RNAcentral describes it as "bacterial SSU rRNA". It matches the Rfam family "Bacterial small subunit ribosomal RNA", at positions 333 to 654 of the family's 1533-position model. The record is from RNAcentral.